GUCCCUGUCGAUUAGUGGUCAAAUCAUGACGUUGUGGUUUCUCACAAUUCCGUCAAGCCGCCGGCUCGAAUCCGGCCAGGGACA
Molecule: non-coding RNA, 84 nt
Organism: Russula aff. rugulosa BPL654
Lineage: Eukaryota; Fungi; Basidiomycota; Agaricomycetes; Russulales; Russulaceae
Source: the annotation of a GenBank genome assembly